RNAcentral lists this ribosomal RNA (894 nucleotides) under Triticum aestivum (bread wheat). RNAcentral describes it as "partial small subunit ribosomal RNA". Lineage: Eukaryota; Viridiplantae; Streptophyta; Magnoliopsida; Poales; Poaceae. The record is from RNAcentral.
AUGGAAGAAGAUCAGGUUAAAUUAGCAGCACUCAUCGCGGAGCUAGAGGAGCCAGUUGGUCUUUGUGACUUGCCAGCAAUUGACCCUCCUAAUACUAAGAGAAAGAAGGGAAGGGCAAUAAAGAAUUUUUCUGAGUGGAUAGAGAAAGAGCCUCCAAUGAAUUGGUCUUUGCUGCAUGACACACAUGGAGCUAGGUAUGGCCACAUGACAACCAAUCUUGCAGAGGUGUAUAACUUUGUGCUGAGAGGGAAUAGAGCAUUGCCACUCACAGCUAUUGUGGAGGCUGUAUUCCAUGGCACUUUGAGAUAUUUCAGAGAAAGGCACGAGUUAGCAAAGAAGCAUAUUGAAGAUAAUCAGAACACACCUUAUUGUAGCCGUGUCAUGGAAUACAUGGCAAAGAAGAUAGAGAAAGCAAAGAAGCACAGUGUCAGACUCAUAGGGAAUCAAGAAAGGAGGUAUGAGGUUCAGCUUCCUACCGAUGGUUUUGGUUCUGGAAAUGAGGUGAAGACACACGAGGUUAAAAUUGGAACGGAAUUUUAUCCAACGUGUGAGUGUACAUGCAACAAACCGAAGUUGCUGCACCUACCUUGCUCUCAUGUGUUGGCUGCCUGUGGCCAGAUUCAGUUGGAUGCUAUAUCCUUCGUGUCCCCAUACUAUUUAAAAGAGGCAGUGCUCAACACCUGGACAGGCGAGAUGACAGGGUUUAGAGUCGUCGGCAAUUUCAACAAGGUAAACGACGGUGAGAGAGUAUACAUCCCGCAUCCAGACCUUCGGCGAACAAGUAGGGGCAGACGAAAGGCCCGUCGCAUCCGGAACGAUAUGGACCAGUCUGAAGCUGGUGGAGCAACCAGACAAUGUUUGUUAUGCGCGGCUUAUGGGCAUAGGAUGAAAUAU